This 604-nucleotide ribosomal RNA is filed under the name uncultured bacterium. RNAcentral describes it as "bacterial SSU rRNA". It matches the Rfam family "Bacterial small subunit ribosomal RNA", at positions 95 to 680 of the family's 1533-position model. The record is from RNAcentral.
GCGGCGGACGGGUGCGUAACACGUAGGAAUCUGCCCGGUAGUGGGGGAUAGCCCGGAGAAAUUCGGAUUAAUACCGCAUACGCCCUAAGGGGGAAAGCAGGGGCCCCGUUCUUUUUUAAAGAGUGGACCUUGCGCUAUCGGAUGAGCCUGCGUCGGAUUAGCUAGUUGGUGGGGUAAAGGCCCACCAAGGCGACGAUCCGUAGCUGGUCUGAGAGGAUGAUCAGCCACACUGGGACUGAGACACGGCCCAGACUCCUACGGGAGGCAGCAGUGGGGAAUAUUGCACAAUGGGCGAAAGCCUGAUGCAGCCAUGCCGCGUGUGUGAAGAAGGCCCUAGGGUUGUAAAGCACUUUCAGUGGGGAGGAAAGGGAGAUUGCUAAUAUCAGUCUCCUGUGACGUUACCCACAGAAGAAGCACCGGCUAACUCCGUGCCAGCAGCCGCGGUAAUACGGAGGGUGCGAGCGUUAAUCGGAAUUACUGGGCGUAAAGCGUGCGUAGGCGGCUUUUUAAGUUGGAUGUGAAAGCCCCGGGCUAAACCUGGGAACUGCAUCCAAAACUGGAAGGCUUGAGUGCGAGAGAGGAGUGUGGAAUUUCCUGUGUAGCG